UCAUAGCAGGAACUCCUAGAACCAGAUCUUCUUAACUGUGUCUUCUUAAGCGUUGUGUUAUUCACAGACGGUUACUGUUUUACUCUGAUGCUCUUUGCAAAAAUGCUUCCUCUUUAACAAAAGUCACAACAAGGACUUUUUAACAAGCAAGCAUAGGUUUCUGAUAACUUUCAGACCACAGUGCUAAAGUGGGAAAGAAAUAAGAAUUUUAGUGGAGGAGUUCCCGUCGUGGCUCAGUGGUUAUCGAAUCCAACUAGAAACCAUGAAGUUGUGGGUUUGAUUCCUGGCUUUGCUCAGUGGGUUACGGAUCCAGCGUUGCCAUGAGCUGUGGUGUAGGCCAGCAGUUACAGUUCUAAUUCGACCCCUAGCCUGGGAACUUCCAUAUACCAAGGGUACAACCCUAAAAAGAAAAAAAUAAUAAUAAUCUGAGAUUCCUUAUAAAAAAUACCAGCAAAGUUUUUUUUUGUUUUUUGUUUUUUUUUUUAAAUGGCCUCACUGCAGCAUAUUGAAGUUCCCAGGCCAGGGACUGAAUCUAAGCCACAGCUGCAACCUAUGCAGCUGUGGUAAUACCAGAUCCUUUAACCCACUGUGCUAGGCCAGGGAUCAAAUCCCAACUCUGCAGCGACCCUAGCCACUGCAGUCAGAGUCUUAACCCACCAAACCAAGUGGGAACUCCCAAAACCAAUUUUUUUUUUAAAAAGCCUAUAUGGUCAGUUCUCUUGUGGCACAGUGAAGAACUCUGGCAUUGUCACUGCAGCAGCCUGGGUCUCUGCUGUGGUAUGGGUUUGAUGCCUGGCCCAGGAAUUUCCACUGCCAAAAAAAUAAAUAAAUUCUAGUUUUGUUAAUUGAGAUCUAUAUUUACUGCCUAACUCACUUCCCAGACAGCUCCUUGCUUUUAUAUUAUUGUAAAGUUUAAGUGAAUUAUUAAAAGGUCACUCUAAGCUUGUUUCUGAAACUUAUCUCAGUAAUCCAUCUUUGGAUAAAGAUCAGAUGCCCCAUGACCUACAACCAGAAGGUUAUGCACAGUGGAGAAGACAUCAUUUAAAGGACUAUCUCUAACCCAGAUGGAAGGACUUUUAUUAGGUACUCUUAACUAGGUCAAAAGAGAACUGGCUCUUGGAUUAAUAGUUCAACUUCAAAAGGGCCCCUGCAGUGGACUGGUCUAUGGGGAAGAAUGCCAACUUCAAAAAUCACCUUAGAAUAAUGCUCAAACUACCAGACAAGGAUGACAAGAAGAUCCCCUCACCUGGACAAUUAAUACCUGGUAUGACCCUUGCCAUAAAUACAAAUUGUCUUAUAGGGUCACUCAAGCGCAAUGAGAAAAACAAGCAAAAUUUGGGCCAAAGACUGUAACCUCCCUCAUUUGUGGGCUGAAAUCAUAUGGCUAACACCAAGCUAUGAUCAUUUAAUUUAUUUUGGGAACAGUUAAAGCAAACUAAGGAUAACCAGGCUAAUACUACUGGAAAUAGGGCUGGGUGCCUUAUGAACAAUACCAAGACAAGGAUUGGUACAGCAGAGACUGAGUCAGACGGCCUGGGGAUACACUGGGCCACAGUAACGGAAGUUCUUGGCUUAUACUCUUACUUAGGACCUUACUAAUAUUACCAGCUAUAUUACCUAUAUUCUGUCUUUUACAAGACUGUUGUUUCUUAUAUUACCGAAUGUGUGACUGGGCCCUUAAUAAAAUGAUGAUUAGGCGACCUGAAGCAGUUGACCAGAUAUCUAAUUCUUUAUGAGAUCACUGAUUGUAAAAGUGUAACUCUAGAUAUAGGAAGAAGCAACAAGAGGGAAUAUUUUCUUGGACCAUACAGACUAAUUUAGUAAGACAGGUGGUCCUUGGAGUUCCCGUCAUGGCUCAGUGGUUAACCAAUCUGACUAGGAACCAAGAGGUUGCAGGUUAGAUCCCUGGCCUUGCUCAGUGGGUUAAGGAUCCGGCGUUGCCAUGAGCUGUGGUGUAGGUCACAGACACGGCUCGGAUCCUGAGCUGCUGUGGCUCUGGCAUAGGCUGGUGGCUACAGCUCCAAUUCGACCCCUGGCCUGGGAACCUCCAUGUGCCGUGGGAGUGGCCCAAGAAAAUGGCAAAAAGACCGAAAAAAAAAAAAAAAGACAGGUGGUCCAGAGACUUUUGGCUACUGCUAAUAAGGCCUAGUCCAAUAACAGCACACUGAGUGGCCUAUAAAUGAAAUCCUUGCCUGACCUAGGAAUAAGCAUUCCUAGCACCACAGGACAAAAUGGUCAUGAAAUACUUCCCAAACCAUGGUUAAAUUUGAAGCUCUGCCAACUAAAAACUGUACUUACUAUUUGCCUCUUCAAGGAUUAGGUCACUAACCACUGCAGUUGCUGACCUUCAACACACACUGAAAGGAGUCCAGGGCAGAGAUGAGGAAUGAGGCACUCUCAUUCCUGUCAAAAAAAAAAUCCAACAAACAAAAAACUUGCAGAGGAGUCAACAGAGGAGAGCUGUGACACAGUGGGUUAAUGAUCUGGCUUGUCUCUGUGGGGGCACUGGUCUGAACCCUGGCCCGGCGCAGUGGGUUAAGGAUCCGGUGUUGCUGCAGCUGUGGUCAAAGCUCUGGCCAGAUUCGACUCCUGGUGCAGGAACUUCCACAUGCUGCAGGUGCAGCUGAAAAAGAAAACAACAACAACAACAACAACAAAAAACCCUGGCAGAACAGGCCUUCAGAUAGUUAAACAAAUUUUUCAGGAGAUUUUAUAAGCCAAGUAAUUUCUUGCAUUUUCUCAUAUCUAGAAAAGCAUUAAAAUCAUUAAUGGAGACAUCUGCUCUUUGUGACCAGCAGCAACCCUCUGCCAAAAUAUGUGCUUGAUUACAUCACAAAAUCACAUAAACACAGUCCUCCUCUGCUCCUUCUCUGGAGCAGUUCCUCAGACAGAGCUGGCGAGGAGGCCGUCUCCUGGACUACAGUCCUCAUUUUGCCCCAAAUAAAACAACUCACAAGCUCACGUUGUGUGUGUUUU
This 2976-nucleotide long non-coding RNA is filed under the name Sus scrofa (pig). RNAcentral describes it as "lncRNA (ENSSSCG00005011237.1)". The record is from RNAcentral. Lineage: Eukaryota; Metazoa; Chordata; Mammalia; Artiodactyla; Suidae.